UGCAUGAAAAGGUUGAUGGACUGUUUGCAAAAAGGGUGAUAUUUACACCAAUACAUUUGAUCCCGACUACCCUCUGGCCGACGUAUUGGCAAAACUCGAUCCACUAAAAAUAAAUUGACAUCAAUCAGGGGCCGAGGAAAAAGGAAAAGUCAUCAGAACCAGACGAUGGCGAUGGCAACUAAUUAAGCAACGUCACACAUGCAACGUCCAUUAAUGAAAGCGAAUCAAACAGGACUGACUGAGGCGAACGGGGCGGAUGAAAAGGGAUUCGCAUCGAAUUUAAAUACCAAACAAUAGGCUCAAUUAAAAAAAAGGCAAAAUAAACUCGCGAAAAUUGGAA
Drosophila sechellia is the source of this 340-nucleotide long non-coding RNA. RefSeq lists it as uncharacterized. The transcript has 2 exons. NCBI's taxonomy places the organism in Eukaryota, Metazoa, Arthropoda, Insecta, Diptera, Drosophilidae. The record is from RefSeq and is a predicted model, not a curated record.